UCUGCCCAUUUAUAAGGAACUGUGAGCAAUUUCAUCGUCCAGCCGGAGGCGAAGAAGUUGCCGAUCCACAACAGGGUGAAUUGAGAAACAUGAGGUUCUUCUCCUUCCUUGGACGGGUCCUCUUUGCUUCCAUCUUCAUUCUCUCCGCCUGGCAGAUGUUUAAUGAGUUCGGCCAUAAUGGAGGGCCAGCAGCCGCGGAGUUGUCUCUAAAAGUAGCUGUUUUGAGGAGAAAUUUAUCAUCCAAGCUGGGGGUAGCGAUACCUGAGAUUGAUGUCAGACACUUGGUUGCCAUUUCUUUAUCUCUUAAAGGGAUUGGAGGCCUUCUGUUUGUUUUUGGCAGCAGAGUUGGAGCUUAUCUCCUGCUUCUGCAAUUGGCUAUUAUCACUCCGGUUCUGUAUGAUUUCUUCAACUAUAGCCCUCAGAAACCUAUUUUCGAUAUCCUGUUGUUUAGUGAUUUCUUGCAGCACAUUGCACUUUUUGGUGCUCUGAUUUUCUUCUUAGGGAUGAAGACCACAGGUCCAAGGAAGCACUCGAAGAAGAAGACAUCUAAAACUAAAACAUAUUAGAUUUGUUGAAGAAGCAACAGUUUAGCGAUUGGAUUAAUUUGCUCUGCCAUUCAGUUCUUAGGAUCUGCAAAUAUUAGGAUUGGCCUUGCGUCGCAGGAUGCUCCUUUUUAUGUUCCUCAUUGCAUUGCUCGUUAUACCAAUCAAGUGCCCAAAAGAAAUGUUCAAGAUCAGGUUUAUUAUUCGUGUUAACACAUUUACAACAUUAUCAAUGUUAUUUCAAUCAACAUUAACCGAAGUGAAGUUUUCUCUUAUACUCCAAGAAGGGCUAGGAUUCACUGAAGUGAAGUGUUUCAUUCAACUGAAUGGAAACAAAUACUUUAUUGAGAUAUGAAACAGAAAGUUCAAGCUCCAAGGAUGUGAACCAUGGGUCUUUGGACCAGCAUGUAGAUACUGAUUCCAGAGCUUAGUUCUAGUGUAAAUCAAAAAUAGACAGUUUAUUUGCGGUACUUGAGGACUUGCAUGCUAUUUGGGACUGGAUUUUGAUAGAAAAUCUGCAUAUCCCUCAUACUGAAAGAAGCUUGUAUUCUGCUAUUCUGGUGGUCUCAGAAACAUUUGACAACCGCGGUACUUCUUAGACCCCUUUUCACAUCUACUAUUUUUCUGUUUUAUCAUUUUGUGAAUCUUGCUUGAAUAAUCAAGACAUCAUAAAAACAAGUGAAAUGAGUUAUUUAGCUCCACGGGGUGGCCUGUUGGCUAAGGCCCACGGUCUCCUUUGCCUAGAGGUCAGGUUUUGAAUCUUUUUGUGAGCUUAAUAAGAAAAUUCCUUGAUGUCUCCAAAGUUUGGGCCUUGAUGCGAGCACUGACGAAGUGAAAUGAUUUUUUUUUAAAAGUGGAUCCAGAUUUCUAUGAAAUGGUCAGCAUGGAGGACUUAAAUAGUUCAGCAGUGGUUCAUCAGGUGAGCACCUGGUUUUUAUCAAGUAUGCAGACAUCUAACUAUGUCGUACAUCCGUUAGUGAUGAUGCUUGUAUUUCCUAACAAAAUGCAAGUAGCAAUGUUGUAUAUGGGGGGAAUUGGCUCCUUCCAACUGUUGUCUACUCUGUAUCCUAUAUUUAUAGAGUUCCCAUGAAUUUUACUU
Molecule: RNA transcript, 1641 nt
Organism: Cucurbita moschata (crookneck pumpkin)
Lineage: Eukaryota; Viridiplantae; Streptophyta; Magnoliopsida; Cucurbitales; Cucurbitaceae
Exons: 9
Source: RefSeq, a predicted model, not a curated record